UAGAAAUUGAAGCUGUUCUGAUUUUAAAGAUGCUGUACACGCAGAGAUAUUCCUAAAGAUGAUAUGACUGAACUGGAUUUUUAUAUAUCUACUUACCUUUUAAUGCGCUUUCAUUUCUGAUGCUUUCAGAUGGGCAUACAUCUAACACAGUUUAUUUUGUGCCAGGUUUAUGGCUUGGGUAUUUCCUGUAUUCCAAAUGAAGAGAUUUGCUGUUCCUGAGAGGAAAGGUUUUUCCCUAUGGAAGACAAUUUUUUGGCAAGUCUAGCAGUUUCUAACCUGCCAAAUAGUUGUGAUGGGAUGUCGGUGUUCCCAGAAAAGUGUUCAGUGCCUUUUAUUUGAAGAAUUGGAAAUAGAACUCAAAGGCAAGAUAAAGUUUAGACAAGAACCUUUUACAGCUUCACCAGCAUCUCUUCAGCUAAAGACCUAAUAAGCAAACAGUCUAUUUCCUGCUGCAAUAUGUGAAGAAAGCUCUGUCCAGGCCCUUCUCAAUCCCUACUGAGGAGGUGAGCUACAAAUGGAUUCCAAAGGCAUCAUUUCUCAUGUAUCAUUCUGCACUGCUAUUAAUCCUGAUAGUACAACUGUGAGCCUACUGCUUGGAAUUUCUAAGUGGUGCAGGGGAUGUAACCACCUGACGUUAGGUGAUUUAAACCAUAAUUGGGCUCCCUAUGAAAAAUGGUCAGAUUUGCAGUAUGUUUAGCACCCACAGCUCCUACUAAAUUAAACUUCAUUAACUUAUCAAAAGACACAGUGGGAACAUCAGUACCAGUAAUAGAACUAAGGGAUUCCUGCCAGCCAAUCUUGCGUUCACACCACUGAUCUCUAUUGUAGUGAAGACCGUGUAAGCAGGGAAAAGUUCAGCAGACACAAUAAGGAUCUUAAGCAUAAAUAAUGGAGAUAAAAUGAAAUUUUUGUUUGAUUGAAGUCAAUGGCUAUAUUGAUGCUAAAUUCUGCUGGGGCUUAAAUUAACCCUAUGGACUUGAUUUCCAUAUGCAGUAAGCAUUUGCAUCUCUUUCAUAGCAAAUAAUGAUGGCAAAGUAUAAAAACAGUCUAUUCUUGAAGUUGCUAAAAUGAUGUGAAGUAACCACAGAAAAGAGAAUCGUGCCCCUGUAAUGAAGAUUAGAUAGGAUAAAGCAAAGACAAUGUCGGUCCCUGUGGAAGGUGCUGGUUAACGUAAUUAUAUGUCUACUACAGGAGAGUAUUCCUGCACCAAAACCAAAAUGUAGUAGCAGUAAAAUGAGAGAAAAGGAGGGAUACUGGGUAAUAAUGUACAGUAGCAAUUGGAAAAGAAAUCUGAAAUAUCCCACUGGAGGAUGGUAAUCAAAGACAGUUUAAAAGAUCAACUUGAAGUAUUUUUAUUUUCACAGCACACAAAAAGUGAGAAAUUAAAUUAGGAUGACCUGAGCACAUUUUGCAAAGGGCAAUGCUACUGGAGUGGAAUAUUGAUGACUCACAAAUGCUACUCUUAUUUAUAAUACUCAAACUGAUGAGAAGUUGUCUGCUGUAUACAUACGUUAUUGGAAUAUCAUUACUUUGGAG
RNAcentral lists this long non-coding RNA (1536 nucleotides) under Anser brachyrhynchus (Pink-footed goose). RNAcentral describes it as "lncRNA (ENSABRG00000011590.1)". The record is from RNAcentral. Lineage: Eukaryota; Metazoa; Chordata; Aves; Anseriformes; Anatidae.